AGUGAACGUUGGCGGCGUGGAUUAGGCAUGCAAGUCGAGCGAGAACCGUAGCAAUACGGGGACAGCGGCGAAAGGGACAGUAAUGUGUAGGUACCUACCCCGGGGUCUGGGAUAGCUGCGGGAAACUGCAGGUAAUACCGGAUAAUGUCUUCGGACCAAAGGUGUGAUUCCACCUUGGGAGGGGCCUGCAUCCUAUUAGCUUGUUGGCGGGGUAACGGCCCACCAAGGCAACGAUGGGUAGCGGGUGUGAGAGCACGACCCGCGUCAUUGGGACUGAGAUACUGCCCAGACACCUACGGGUGGCUGCAGUCGAGGAUCUUCGGCAAUGGGCGAAAGCCUGGCCGAGCGACGCCGCGUGCGGGAUGAAGGCCUUCGGGUUGUAAACCGCUGUCGUAGAGGAGGAAAUGCAGGGGGGUUCUCCCUUCUGUUUGACCUAUUCUAGGAGGAAGGACGGGCUAAGUUCGUGCCAGCCGCCGCAGUA
This 481-nucleotide ribosomal RNA is filed under the name uncultured bacterium. Its description in RNAcentral is "partial 16S ribosomal RNA". It matches the Rfam family "Bacterial small subunit ribosomal RNA", at positions 28 to 522 of the family's 1533-position model. The record is from RNAcentral.